GCCGUGUAGCUCAGUAGGUAGAGCGUCGAUCUAGUAAUUCGAAGGUCGCGGGUUCGAGACCCAGCCGCUGGGUA
RNAcentral lists this transfer RNA (74 nucleotides) under Paramuricea clavata. RNAcentral's name for it is "tRNA-Thr". The stretch from base 4 to 68 matches the Rfam family "tRNA", at positions 5 to 66 of the family's 71-position model. From Rfam's summary of the family: Transfer RNA (tRNA) molecules are approximately 80 nucleotides in length. Their secondary structure includes four short double-helical elements and three loops (D, anti-codon, and T loops). Lineage: Eukaryota; Metazoa; Cnidaria; Anthozoa; Malacalcyonacea; Plexauridae. The record is from RNAcentral.